Molecule: ribosomal RNA, 459 nt
Filed under: Triticum aestivum (bread wheat)
Lineage: Eukaryota; Viridiplantae; Streptophyta; Magnoliopsida; Poales; Poaceae
Description: partial small subunit ribosomal RNA
Source: RNAcentral
AUGUUUCGCUUCGUGAAGUUAAUCCUCAUUACAUAUCUCUUUCUUACACUUCAGUUUCUUGUAUUGAUUGGGAUUAGGAAAGGGAAACUAAAUUUUCUGCUCAUGACUUGUAAGCUGCAGAAAAAGCUUGCAGUUUCUAAUUUCCUAGCCAACCAGGUGCAUUUGUUUCAUGCCAUUCUUAAACUUUUUUAUUUAACUAGCUGUGUUCUUGAUUUUUAUCAUCUUGUAUCAUAUAUUUGUGUGCUAAUUUUCAAGAUUGCUAUUAAUUUGGCAAGAUUGUAUAUUGAAAGUAUUCAUCUGACUAUGAGAAGAAAAAAACAUGCAUAUGAGUUGAUUGAGCCUGAGAGAGGAGUUGUUGACAUUUAUUUAGAGCACAUACAAGUAGUAUUUCUACUGCUUAGGAAUUUUGUGGAAUUAGUUUUUGUAUUUAUUGAAGAGCAACUUAGUGAAGGAUUAUAG